Molecule: ribosomal RNA, 460 nt
Filed under: uncultured bacterium
Lineage: Bacteria
Description: partial 16S ribosomal RNA
Rfam family: Bacterial small subunit ribosomal RNA
Source: RNAcentral
CCUACGGGUGGCAGCAGUGAGGAAUAUUGGUCAAUGGGCGCGAGCCUGAACCAGCCAAGUAGCGUGAAGGAUGACUGCCCUACGGGUUGUAAACUUCUUUUAUAAAGGAAUAAAGUGAGGCACGUGUUCCUUUUUGUAUGUACUUUACGAAUAAGGAUCGGCUAACUCCGUGCCAGCAGCCGCGGUAAUACGGAGGAUCCGAGCGUUAUCCGGAUUUAUUGGGGUUAAAGGGAGCGUAGAUGGGUUGUUAAGUCAGUUGUGAAAGUUUGCGGCUCAACCGGAAAAUUGCAAUUGAUACUGGCAGACUUGAGUGCAGUUGAGGUAGGCGGAAUUCGUGGUGUAGCAGUGAAAUUCUUAGAUAUCACGAAGAACACCGAUUGCGAAGGCAGCUUACUAAACUACAACUGACGUUGAGGCGCGAAAGUGUGGGUAGCAAACAGGAUUAGAUACCCGAGUAGUC